This is a non-coding RNA of Picea glauca (white spruce), 45 nucleotides long. Lineage: Eukaryota; Viridiplantae; Streptophyta; Pinopsida; Pinales; Pinaceae. The record is from Rfam.
CUAACGGAUCUCCUAAGAUCCACCUAGAUAUAGAAAAAAACAGGA